This 73-nucleotide transfer RNA is filed under the name Chelatococcus reniformis. Its description in RNAcentral is "tRNA-Gln". It matches the Rfam family "tRNA". Rfam says of the family: Transfer RNA (tRNA) molecules are approximately 80 nucleotides in length. Their secondary structure includes four short double-helical elements and three loops (D, anti-codon, and T loops). Lineage: Bacteria; Pseudomonadati; Pseudomonadota; Alphaproteobacteria; Hyphomicrobiales; Chelatococcaceae. The record is from RNAcentral.
UGGGGCGUCGCCAAGUGGUAAGGCAACGGUUUUUGGUACCGUCAUUCCCAGGUUCGAAUCCUGGCGCCCCAGC